AUGGCGACCCCGAGGACGAUGAGAGCCGUGCAGUACGACAAGUAUGGCGGAGGAGCAGAAGGCCUCAAGCAUGUGGAGGUGCCGGUGCCGUCGCCGAAGAAGGGGGAGGUGCUGCUGAAGAUGGAGGCGGCCAGCAUCAACCCCAUCGACUGGAAGAUCCAGAAGGGCAUGCUCCGCCCCUUCCUCCCCGGCAAGUUCCCCUUCACGCCAGUGGGCGAUCUGGCCGGCGAGGUGGUGGAGCUGGGCAGCGGCGUGACCAACUUCAAGCCGGGAGACAAGGUCAUCUCCAUCAGCUUCCCGAGCGGCGGCGGGCUCGCGGAGUACGCGGUGGCGCCGGCGUCGCUCACGGUGGCGAGGCCGACGGAGUUGUCCGCCGUCGAAGGUGCCUGCCUGCCGGCCGCCGGAGGCUCCGCGCUGCAGCUGCUCAAGCUCGCCGGGGUCAGCUUCGACGGGACCUCCGGCGCGACCGGCCCGAAGAACGCGCUGGUGACCGCGGCCUCGGGCGGCGUGGGCCACUACGCCGUGCAGCUCGCGAAGCUCGCCGGCCUGCACGUCACGGCCACCUGCGGCGCGCGCAACGUGGACUUCGUCCGGGGACUGGGCGCCGACGAGGUGCUCGACUACAGGACGCCCGAGGGCGCGGCCCUGCGGAGCCCGUCGGGCAGGAGGUACGACGCGGUGGCGAACUGCGCGGCGGGGGUGCCGUGGCCGGCGCUCAAGGCGGUGCUGGCCGACGAGGGCGGCACGGUGGCGGACGUCACGCCGGGGGUCGGCGCCGCGCUCACGUCCAUCCUGCAGAAGGCGACCUUCGCCAAGAAGAGGCUGGCGCCGCUGAUGCUGGCGCCGAGGAGGGAGGAGAUGGAGUGGCUGGUGGGCUUGGCGAGGCAGGGGAAGCUCAGAACGACGGUGGACUCGAGGUUCCCGCUGAGCAGAGCACAGGAGGCCUGGGCUAAGAGCAUGGAGGGGCAUGCCACCGGCAAGAUCGUUGUGGAAAUGGGAGGCGCAGAAUGA
Molecule: ribosomal RNA, 1011 nt
Filed under: Triticum aestivum (bread wheat)
Lineage: Eukaryota; Viridiplantae; Streptophyta; Magnoliopsida; Poales; Poaceae
Description: partial small subunit ribosomal RNA
Source: RNAcentral